AAGAAUAAAUCUAAGAAGCCGCUAACUAUCUUUAAAGUGUUAAAUCACUUUAUUCUUU
RNAcentral lists this transfer RNA (58 nucleotides) under Zecheuna tonkinensis. RNAcentral's name for it is "tRNA-Ser". The record is from RNAcentral. Lineage: Eukaryota; Metazoa; Arthropoda; Insecta; Hemiptera; Flatidae.